AUUCCAGCUCCAAUAGCGUAUAUUAAAGUUGUUGCGGUUAAAAAGCUCGUAGUUGGAUUUCUGCCGAGGAUGACCGGUCCGCCCUGUGGGUGUGCAUCUGGCUCAGCCUUGGCAUCUUCCUGAAGAACGUAGCUGCACUUGACUGUGUGGUGCGGUAUUUAGGACAUUUACUUUGAGGAAAUUAGAGUGUUUCAAGCAAGCGCACGCUUUGAAUACAUUAGCAUGGAAUAAUAAGAUAGGACCUCGGUUCUAUUUUGUUGGUUUCUAGAGCUGAGGUAAUGAUUAAUAGGGACAAUCGGGGGCAUUCGUACUUAUACGUCAGAGGUGGAAUUCUUGGAUUGUAUAAUGGCGAACUACUGCGAAAGCAUUUACCAAGGAUGUUUUCAUCG
Molecule: ribosomal RNA, 389 nt
Filed under: Biecheleria sp.
Lineage: Eukaryota; Dinophyceae; Suessiales; Biecheleriaceae
Description: partial small subunit ribosomal RNA
Rfam family: Eukaryotic small subunit ribosomal RNA
Source: RNAcentral